ACUCGUUUGAUGAGAUCGAAACCCAAACAGCGGCAUCAUGACAAGUGUAUUAGGAGGAGAUCCGUAGUCCCAACCCCCCGCCUGGUGCCGAUUUUUAGAUGGGACACGUUAUACGUGCGGACUUAAGAUCGGGACAUGAGACGGGCAUGUGAGCAAAUAUCUGCCAGAUACAUCGACCCAACUGUCGCGAAGCUAUCUAAGACACUUGUUUGCUCUGCUGACGCACCAUUAGAUCGAACUUUCAUUUGCGGGGCCCAUAAAUUUGGCAAUGUGAUGUGCGUCUCAAGAAAAAAGUCGAAGAUACAAUGAGAUAUCUGUGUACAAAGUACGCGACGUGGUGGUAAUAAUAAUAAUAGUUGCAAGAAAUUCCAGUUAUUGUCUUUAAAACAAACAACACAAUCGCCAUAUAGCGACAAUAGAUGGGAUCCCAAACGAAUUCCAUUGGAGCAGCCAGGCAUGAACUAUGCAUAACUAAGAAUUUCAAUCGACACCUGCUGACUGGGCGGCAGCCGAGAACAUUUCUAAUUGUGCCCCUUUGGAUGGAUGAAAGUGAAAGUGCCCUAAUGUCAAGAGCACUGCACUCCACUCUAAUCUCGGCCAGGAAUUUCCAGAUAGUUUGAUAGAUCGUUAAGCGCGAAGUUCCGUGGCAUCCACGAGUACGGCAAGUGAUCGCUUAACCAGUUUUUAAGCUACGCCACUCUGAGCUCUUUUUUUU
This 715-nucleotide long non-coding RNA is filed under the name Drosophila melanogaster (fruit fly). Its description in RNAcentral is "long non-coding RNA:CR46234 (Dmel_CR46234)". Lineage: Eukaryota; Metazoa; Arthropoda; Insecta; Diptera; Drosophilidae. The record is from RNAcentral.